Long non-coding RNA from Tachysurus fulvidraco (yellow catfish), 634 nucleotides. RefSeq lists it as uncharacterized. NCBI's taxonomy places the organism in Eukaryota, Metazoa, Chordata, Actinopteri, Siluriformes, Bagridae. The record is from RefSeq and is a predicted model, not a curated record. The transcript has 3 exons.
UCAGACUCAGCUCUGUGAUGGCUCUCUAGCCGGUGGAAAGGCAAACCAGUUCUUAGAACGUUCGCCAGUGGAACCACUUUGAACCAGCACCAGCACUAGCUCUGAACCAGCACUCGGUUCUUUUAGGUGGUAAAGAGGCAUAUGUGUGCUUUCUUGAGCAGGAGGACCAUGCAGGUGCUGUAGGAUUUCACAGUGUUACCAAUUGUUUUUUUGAUGACUAUGGUCCCAGCUGCAUUGACAAGAUCCUCCUGUGUAGUCCUGGGCUGAUUCUUCACCAUUCUCAAGAUCUUGCAUGGAGCCAGAGACUAAGGGAGAUUGACAGUUAUUUUGUGUUUCUUCCAUUUUUGCGAUGAAUCGCACCAAUUGUUGUCACCUUCAGAGCGGUGCUAAAGAAAAAACUCAAUAAAACAAACAAAUCAACUAAAUCUCAGCUAAUAGAAAGAAGACUGAAGCCCAUCUAACUGGCGGGGGCCCACCACCUCCCCUCACCCCAUCUGAGGAGCUGGCUCUGUCCCUUAAUAAUCUGUCCCUCGCACACACCAUGCACCACAAGUGAUGGUGAAAAAAUGGUGAAAUGCAAGACGGACUGCGACAACGUGAUCAUCGGAGACUCCAUCGUCCGCCACGUCCGUGC